AUUUAAGUAGUUUAUUAAAAUAUUGAUUUGUGGAGUCAAAGAUGUACAAAAGUUACCUUAAAUA
This 64-nucleotide transfer RNA is filed under the name Micrambina sp. MIC01. Its description in RNAcentral is "tRNA-His". The record is from RNAcentral. Lineage: Eukaryota; Metazoa; Arthropoda; Insecta; Coleoptera; Cryptophagidae.